Pectinophora gossypiella (pink bollworm) is the source of this 619-nucleotide long non-coding RNA. RefSeq lists it as uncharacterized. The transcript has 2 exons. The record is from RefSeq and is a predicted model, not a curated record. Lineage: Eukaryota; Metazoa; Arthropoda; Insecta; Lepidoptera; Gelechiidae.
CUGUGAUUCGUGCAGUGAAGCCGCGAGUUUUGUGCAGGAUAGCUUCAGGAGGUCUCAACUCUCCGCUAAAGGCUCCACGUCUGAGUUGGACAGGGGAUCUUGACAGUUUAUCCUCGCACGCUGCCAGAUCUAUCUUUCCAGCUCACGCGUGGAACCGCCCCAUCGUAAUAUCCACCACCAUCAAGAAGACACGAGUGAAGAAAAAGCGUGAAGGACUAAGUGGAGGUGUGAUCUCUUCACUUUUUAUGCUUAAAGUGAGAUUCAACUCCUCCAACUUAACUCUGAAACGCACAAUCUACGCGUCGACGAAGACUGAAAUGACUAACUAAUUAAUAAUUGAUUAUGUAUAAAAUUGAAUCAUCAUUAUUUGGAAUUUUAUGUAUAUAUGAUUUUUAUUAACUUAUUAAUCAUAAUUAGUGCUCUUAUCAAUAUAUUUUUGCCAUUAAAUAUGUAUCUUAUCCAGAGUGAAACAGCGAUUUUGAUAGUUAGAUAAAUAGAUAUGUGAUAAAUAACCAAUAAAAGAUACUUAAAUGUAAUUGUAAGACAUAUAUUUACAGAAAAAUAAAGUGUUUAAAAUAUAUAUCAAGAGGUUACCUAUUUAACUAAAAACCAAAGAGAA